Molecule: ribosomal RNA, 300 nt
Filed under: Vibrio cholerae
Lineage: Bacteria; Pseudomonadati; Pseudomonadota; Gammaproteobacteria; Vibrionales; Vibrionaceae
Description: partial 16S ribosomal RNA
Rfam family: Bacterial small subunit ribosomal RNA
Source: RNAcentral
UUAAUUGAAGAGUUUGAUCAUGGCUCAGAUUGAACGCUGGCGGCAGGCCUAACACAUGCAAGUCGAGCGGCAGCACAGAGGAACUUGUUCCUUGGGUGGCGAGCGGCGGACGGGUGAGUAAUGCCUGGGAAAUUGCCCGGUAGAGGGGGGAUAACCAUUGGAAACGAUGGCUAAUACCGCAUAACCUCGCAAGAGCAAAGCAGGGGACCUUCGGGCCUUGCGCUACCGGAUAUGCCCAGGUGGGAUUAGCUAGUUGGUGAGGUAAGGGCUCACCAAGGCGACGAUCCCUAGCUGGUCUGA